Alligator mississippiensis (American alligator) is the source of this 12904-nucleotide long non-coding RNA. RefSeq lists it as uncharacterized. The record is from RefSeq and is a predicted model, not a curated record. The transcript has 5 exons. NCBI's taxonomy places the organism in Eukaryota, Metazoa, Chordata, Crocodylia, Alligatoridae.
CCUGUCGCUCGGGAAAAUAAUCCACCCCCAACAAAUCCAGGAUGCCUGGCUUUGUUGUUGCGCGCAGGUUUCCGAAGCCGCACCCUGGGAUGGGAUCAUCUAAGGCUGUACACAAAAGACAAUAUGGAUUGAUUCUUCUUUCAGUUCCAGCAAAGUAAAUCUGAAGCAACUCUACUGAAGUCAAAAGUUCUUAUGAACCACUAUUGAACAAAAACAGCUGGCUCCAAACGAGAGGAGCUCUAUGUUAUCUGCAGACCAAAUAAACUCAGAAUAGUCAUGCCCAAUCCAGGAUGAUGAUGUUAGCUCAUAGCGCUGGUCAUUUAAACAGUGAAUGAAACAGAUUAUUGACAUUAAGGUGAUGAGCUUCCACUAGAGGCUGUGUUUCUUCAAGGCGAGGUGCUACACGUCUUCUAGCAUGACGAGGACUUGAUCUAAAACCCUGUGACAUAGGAAAAGCAACGCACAAGAAUGGCUGAGUCGCUGGAGAGUUAUGCAUCUUUUCUGGAUCUUCAGGCUGCUGAUUCCUAAACUAAGGUGGUGAUUCAUUUUUAACCCAGUACAAUUGAGAGAGAAACCAAACCAAACACAAAACCUCAAUUGGAUAUCUAAAAAUAUAUUAAGAAAUGUUCUUCUACACAGUACUACACCAUCAGUUUUAUUCUACACAGCAAUACAGUUGCCAAGUAGCAUGAAAGACCACACCAUAAAUAUUCUUUCUUAAAAUCGCUGCAUCUUAAAAGUGUCCAACAGAGUCAGUACCAGGUGUUUCAGAAAAAGGCACAAGGCACAACCAUGAAUGUCACACCUUCCUGCCCUGAGCCUCUCACCUUCAUCCCUGCUAGUUACAGAUUUUGAUAAGCCCUAAAUUAUGAGAUCAUAUAUUCUCUGUAAACAUCUUCCUAGGAUUAACUGUCAUAACCUUGGAUAGUCUUGUUAACUAUGUAAGUGCACAAGGCCUUUUUGAAUUAAUAUUCAUUUUGUUUAAACUCCUGUGGCAAUAAGCUCCAUAUUUUCCUUUUAUGUUCUGUGAAAAAAAUAUUUUCUUUAAUCAGUAUUGAAUUUUCCACCUGUCAGUUUCCUACGAUACCGAUUUAUUCUUGGAUUAGGAUCCAGGCAAAACAGAAGCUCUUGCUGCACCUUCACUAUCAUAUUUAUUAUUUGACAUACUUUUAAUGAAUUCCUUCUUACUUGUCUCCUUUCUAAAGUAUACAUCCAAUUCCUCUCAGUUUCUCAUCAUAAAAGAGCUUGCCCAUGUCCCUAAAACCAGUAGUUCUCAGCCUUUUAAGACUCAAGACACCCCUCAUUCGAUUCAAGGCACCCCUCAGAAAAUGACAGCUCUUAACUUUCACUCAUUUUUUUGACUGUGGACAGAUAAUAUGAGCAUUCCUCUGUGGCAGAGAACUCAGAAAUACCACAACAGGUCAGACUAUUUUUGACACUAUCGAUUUCUAUUUGAAAUUUGUAGGAGUAGCUUGUGAAUCAUGUAUAGGUGUUUGCACACCUAACACUGCUAAUCUUAUGUGGCGGCCUGGCUGAAAAUCACUGCCCUAAGCAUUUCUUUUAUGCUUCUCCAAACCCCUUCUAACUUAGCAGCAGCAUUUUUUAGAUGUGAUGCAUUGCACAGGAGUCCAAGGCUGCACCAUUGAUUUAUAUAAUGGCAUUACCCUAUUUUCCAUCCUUUUGUAUUGUUCAUCCUGAUACUUAGGUCUCAGAAUUUAUUUUUCUUUUUGAGCUCAGGUCUUCAAUGAAUCGUAUAAAAUGAAUCCAAGGGCCCUUUCAUGAGAUGGCAGCAGCUAUUCAGACUUUCCCAGUAAUGUACAUUGAUUUGCAAUAUCAACUCUGAACUUCCUAUUGUCAUUACAAUGCCAUUCAUUUAUCUUGAUAAAGAUCCCUUCAGUCUCUUCAGGGUCCAACGUUAUAAUCCAGGGGUGGGCAAAAUGCGGCCCAUGGGCUGGAUGCGGCCCACUAAACCAUUCUAUCCGGUCCACGGGACCCCUAAAAAAUUUAGAAAAUUUAUAUUUAUCUGCCCCUGGCUGCCUGUCAUGCGACCUUUGAUGGCUUGCCAAAAGUCAGUAAGUGACCCUCCGCCUGAAAUAAUUGAACUCAUAACAAUCUUCUUUCCUUUUCAUAUUAUUUUCCAAAUCAAAUGUUUUGAAUAAUACAUUGAACUUUUUUCUUUUUUUCUUCUCCUCCCUACAUUUUCAUUAAUUAUUCUUCUGAGACUCUUCAGGGUAAUUCUGGAAGACCCAAGAAUGGCUACAGUAAUGCUGUAAUACCAAUUCAUUUGUCACUUCAGUGAUUUUGUAUCUCUGUGAGUUCCAUAUUAUCUACAUGUCAUUUUAUUUAUUCACUGAGCAUUUUAACUUCUGCGUAUGUAUGUUUCCUCAGAUGGCAAAAUAGUUCAUUCUGCAAACACUACUGGGAAAGCAAGUGUGUUUAAUAGUGCAAGUUGGACUUUAGAUGCUACUAGCUGUCAAGUAGCUGAUAGCUUCUGUAGAAAAACAUGUAAAGUGCUUUCUAUCUCAUUUUCCUUGAUUAGAGACUACUUGGUAUUUCUCUCCUUGAAACCAAACCAAACAAAAACUACUAUUUUCUUACUGUCUACUUCUUGUAAAUUUUCUAUGAAGAGUGUAUUGGUAGAAGAAAAUUAUAAACUAACCGGAAACUCUGAUCUUGCAUCUGCUAAAUAUAAGCAUGCAUGUGUAUCAUUAAACAUUAACUCCAAGAGUCAUAAGAGCACAUUAUCCAAUGACCAGCUGAAGUCAGUGAAAUCUUUAAUUUCACUGAGCAUUGGAUCAGGGCCCAGGUUAUCUUCUGGUAGAAAUUAAAGCAGGCUAUAAGUAAAAUGCUGUUUAAUGUUAAGCUCAUUCAGGGGACUAAGACAAUAGGGCAAUAAGCAGGCUUAAAGUGGGUUUUCAAAUAUUCUUCCCGACACUUGAGUGAGUCCCUUAGAAUAAAAGGACAUACAAAAAACCUAGAACUCUUGGUUCCAAAAUGAUACCUUUUAUUAGACCAACUGGAAAAUGGCAAGAAAACUGUCCUUUUCUGAAAGCUUUCGGGAUCAAAGUCCCUUCAUCAGGCUCUGGGAAAAGUGUAGAUGGUACAAGAUGGUAAAAAGUACCCAUAGGUAGGAAAAAAACUUCAUUUUUGCACAGAGAGAGCUGAAGAUGGAAGUCUGUACAUCCCUUAGAAUAAAGGCACUUUUCCAAGAGCGCUAAUGAAUAUCAAAAUCAAAGGAAGUGCAGAUAGACUACCAGCUACAUACUGAUUCCAUUAAGCUUUUUGACAGUGGUUAUGUAGACACAGGAAUUGUUAUAUAUUACCAUUGUCAAUUAACAGUCUCAAAAAUAGUCUUUGAAUUGUCAGUUAUUGCUGAUUUAAGGCCUAGAAACUUUUAUGUGUAUGCAACCUAAAAAUUCUCAAGGCCUAGAAACUUAAGCGUGCAUGGCAUUAAAAUGAUUCUCAGGAUGCCAGAGUUCUGGACAAUCUUGGAUAUUGGCCAAAUUGGAAUUAUAUCAUUUUUUUAAAUAUGUACUUGAAGUAAAAAGGUGGGUUUAAUUACAUAACUUCACUAUACCAAAUUCUUAAGCCUACUGAAACUGCAGAUCUUUGUGAGCCUUCCAUCUACUAAGUAAAGUUUAUUAUGUAUAUGUGGGUGUAUUUAAACAAUUAUAUAGCUAUACAUGCACAUAUAUACAUGCAUAAACACAUGUAUACAUAUCCAUGUAUAGAUGUACAUCAGUAUUAUAGGGUGUGUGUAGACAAAACAAGGGCCCUAAAUUGAAGCAGUGGGUUUUAUAAAACACCACUUCAAUUUAGGGUUGAUUAAAUCCCCGUGUCAUGCACACACCACACUGACUUACCUGCCUCUCUGGCAGGGAGGGGAGGGGGAGCUGCCGGCAGGCGAAGCGGCCCCUGGGCUGCAGGGGGGGCAGAGACUGGUUCUUCCCUCCGCAGCAGUGGUGUGUUUCCCCCACCCACCCCAGCAGCACCUGCCCGCAAGCACCCGACUCUGGCAGUCCUGGGGGGUACCACAGCUGCGGAGGGAAGCACUGGACCCCCAUACAGCUCAGGCAGGUAAAGCGGCGGGGGGAUGAUCAGGCUCACCCCUUUUCUUGGGCGGAGCCUGCUUUCCCAGGCUGCUGCCAGGCCACCUGCAGGGCUUCCUACCGCGGCUGUAGGGGCAGCAAACCAGAACUCCUUGAAGGAGUUUUAGUUUGCUGUACCCCGAGUCAUUUAAGGCGCAUUACGCCGCCGAAUUUCCUACAGCAGCUGGAAUUAAUGCGCAAUACGCCGCUGAGGCAUGCAAACACUGACACCAUUAAACUGGUGCAAAAGCAUUUAGCCCACUUUAAAGUAUCAUGCACACACGCCUCUCGUUUCGUCUACACAUGGCCAUAUAUACUAAUGUCUGUAUCUGAACUAAAGCUAGUACAUUGAUGUACCACCAGUUUGAUGUAACUGGUAUGUACCCAUUGUAAAGGAGCAGUUGUAUCUGAGCCAUAAAUUUUUAGCUGGUUCAGCUAGUUCUUUAUUUUCUUCAUCUUUCUUAAGGGUCACUCCAAAAAUAUAAGUAAAAUCUAAAAAAAAUUAAUGUCAUACACGGCAUUAUUUUCUUCCUCUUCCUUGAGCAGCUAGAUCGCCUCAUGUCUUCUUAUUGAGCCUUUAUGCUUAUCCCAUGAGGUUUUUCUUCCCUCUUCUAAAAUUUCCCACCAAAGGAGGAACCUUUCCCCAGUUUUUUCAUAGACUCCCUGGUACUUUGCAAUAUACAAUAUCAUAUUUCCCAGGUAAAUCCGAAUGAUCGAAAAGGUUACAAGUACUUACGUUUUAUAUAAGGCUCCUACCCUACACCCUAGGUAACCAGGUCAGCUGCAUAAGACUCAGUCAGGCUCCUGCCCCGAAGCCCUCAUAACUCGGUCAGCUACACUUGAACUAACUGAGGUGAACCGACUCUCCUCCCUGCCCAAACCUUUUCCUCCGAUUUAUUUUGGGGCUGCUUUUAAGGAACUCCUACAGAACUUGAGCCUUGCAGCACAAACCAUCUCCAGUCCCCAAGUAGCUCCUGCGUGGCAACGUUUCUGGCUUUUCUGGUUCCUGAUCCUGCCUUUGGCUUGUUCCUGGAUUUUGGCUUUGGAUUUCCCUGUAGAUCUGUUUCCUGCCUCUUGACCCCAUUUUGGUUCUGUUCUUGGACCUCACCCAGGAGCAUGCAAAUGAAGGCUCUGCAUGUUAGCCUCUUCUGUCCUCAGAGGAAAGACAAAACCUCAGGAAGAACCCUGCACCACAUUCAGGACUGUAGAUAUGAAUUUCAGAUGUAAUAAGUGUGGGAUGGACUGUCAUUUAAGAAUUGGACUCUAUGGCCACACUCAUGGAUAUUCAGUGAGGUGAUGCCCCACUCAGUGCAAAUAUAUUACCUCACAAGACAGACAGAUGCCCAUAUAGUCCUUGCCCUGAGUACUGUCCCUCAGAUUUGGUAACUAGGCUUCUGAUCCUGAUAUUUACUUGGUAUUUGGUUCCUGACUCAUUGCUUCUGACCCCCACCCCAGCAAUCUCCAGCUCUAUUCACUAGGCCAGCCAUCCCAGUGGACUGUGACAUUUUAUAUAAGAUCAAUUUUCCAAUUUAAGAAAUCCAAUAUAACAUCAAAAUUCUGCUGACAAAUGCAAGGUGCUAUACCUCAAAGAAUAAUCAAAAGCAGAAAUACAAAAAUAAGUGAUACCUCACUGGAUUGCAGCACUACAAAGCAGAAUCUAGGAAUCCUGAUGGAUCACAGACUCGAUACAAGCCUGCAGCAUGAUGCAGCUGAACAAAAGGCUAAUGUAGUUUUGGGCUACAUUAACAGAAACAUUAAGUACAAGACAUGGGGAGUGAUAAUGCCUCUUGACUCAGAACUAGUUAGGCCUCAUCUAGAGUAGUGUGUUCAGUUUUGGAUUCCACGUUUUAAAAAGGACAUAGAGAAGUUAGAGAUGGUCCAAAAUUGGGCAACAAAAAUGAUAAAAGAGCUCAGAAGGCAAGCCAUACGAGGACAAGUUGAAAGAAAUAGGCAUGCUCAGCUUGCAUAAAAAUGAAAACCACACAAGAGGAGACAUGAAAAUAAUCUUCAAGUAUCUGAAGGGCUGCCAUAAAAAGUAGUAAAACACCUCUCUUGCUGCAGAGAGCAGGACACAGACCAAGGGCUUGAAGUUGCAGCCAAGUAGGUUUAGAUUGUAAAUCAAGUAAAACUUCCUGGUAGAUCACUAAGGCAGUGAAAUAGCCUGCCAAGGGAAGGUGUGGACCCUCCAUCAUGGGAGGUGUUCAGGAAGAGACUGCAUGGCCACUCAUAGGUGGUGGAAGGCCAAGGCUAACAGGGCUUAUGCCCCCAAAACCGAGGCGGUGACAGUAGCUCCAGCACCACCACUGCCGCAGCGCCGCACCCAGAGCCCCCGUCACCAUGUGCACAGCACCAGGCAUUCCAGCCCUGUGGAACAGCCCUGCGGGAGGAAGGGGCGGACUCAGGCAAGCGCGCUCCGCACUGCUCAGACCCUGCAAAUAAUAUUUUCUAGUGCCACUUAUGCAGCCGCUGGUCAGAGAUGAUCUAGGGGUAGCUAUGCCUAUAUUCCACUAUGGGUAUUUCUGGGCUUUGCUGGUUGCCAUAUGGGCCCAGAAAGGAACUUUCCCCUGUUAUUGCUACGUAUGUCAGGAAGGGACAUUUUAGCUUCCUCAGAAGCAUUGGACAUUGGCUGCAGCCGACACUGGGGAUUUUGAUUGGGGUGUGCCCGUUUGCCUGCUGGGACUUUAACCUGAUGGUUCCUGACGAGGGUCUCACUCCUCUGCUCACGUUCAAAGCGACUGCCAUAUCUGGAGCCAGAAAGUAAUUUUAUCCCAUGGUCAGUUUGGUAUAGACUGUAGGGGGUUUUAUCUUCCUCUGUACUGGGGGUGUGGCUCUCUUCCUCGGAUCUCAAGUAUAUUUUAACAACCCUCACAGCAGCAGGACAUUGGCCACUGUUGUCCCCCUGCGGCAGGUUAGGGUGUCUUGAUGGUUGUGUCAGGAUUGACUGGGUAGUUUACAAAUAGGUUAGACAGUGGAUUGUGUAGGAUGGUUUGGAUACAGAUGUUCCUGCUUCUGGCGGGACGGGGGGCACUAGAUGACCUCUGAAGGUCCCCUCCAACCCAACCCUUCUAUACUUCUAUAAUUUGAUUAGCCUAAUUAAUAACUCAUACUAAAACACAGAUAGGCGCUGUAAGUAAAGUGCUGCCUAAAUUACCCUGAUGUAGCACAUAGUGCAUUUACCAUUAUAGAUUCCACUCCACUAAGUGAACCUACAAAAACAGUCACAAUAGAAGCUUAAGUGGGAUAUUUUUUCAGGUACAGAAUGGUAUGUACUGUAAAGCUUUAAUCUGCACUGGCAUAAAUUAGAAAUAUUUACAAUGCUACUCACUGAAGGUCAAUAGAAUUUUAGCAACAAGAAGUGGGUCUGAGCUGAGUAUCAGGCCUCAUGCCUCCAGAAAUCUUUAAUGAGGCUGAUCUGAAACUCAGAAUCAAUGACAGUGUGGUACACUCCACCCUAAUCACACAUUUCCAUAUUUAACUAUCUUUAAAUUAACCUAAUGACAAGCAAGUAGCUGUUUGGGUUUGUCAGGUUUCUUCCUGCCCAAUAAGAACCUAAGAGCUGGUCUAUUCAAAAGGAAUUGUUAAAAUUCUCAUGGGUAAGAGGGGUUUACUCUCUCUUUUUCUUCACAGCUUUUGUUCUGAUCUAUUCACGUUCCUUCCCUCUUUUACUGAAUCUAUGCAUCAGGCAUUGGAAGCUUCAAUUAAAUAAUUUAAGGGAAUUAGACAUCAGAAACGCAAAUGUUGUGGUACAACAGCCCCUGAUGUUCUACAAGGAAUUUAAAUGGUUUAGGGUUAAGUUCACUUUAGCCUUGCUGGUUUAACUGGGUUUCGGAGAUUCCUGGUAUGAGCAAUGAACCACCCAUGAAGGAUUCACCAUUAAGAUACAGGCUUUUAAAAAUUAAACUUGGAAUUUCAUAUGAUAAAAAUAUAUUGGGAGAGGGGAUCAGUAAGGUUAUUUCAAACUUAAUGCAGAAUGAAAAAUGGAUAUGAAUAAUAUAAACACUAACCACAUCCAACGCACUGGUCUCAAGAACUAUGUUCCACUUGAAAGUAUUUCUUUCAAGUGUGCAGUACUUUCCUCUUGAAAGCAAUUGAUGAGAAAGUUAUCUCACCAAGUUGCAAUGCUCCAAUUUACAAAUAAUGGAUGCCCUCUCAUAAUUCUGUCAUGAGUAAAAUAGGCAACUGACCAGGGAUUCAGAAGGCAUAUAUGGGGGUCACUUUAUCCUAGCUGACCAGUAGAGAGAGACAUUAAACCACUAAAGACAAUAACAUCAUUAAGAAAAAGCAUUAAUGGAACAAAAAAAAUAAAUUAUUUUGAAGUUGAUUCUACUGUAGUUCCUAUGUACUGACUCCAUAUGGUAACAUAAGGGUCAAGAAACAGGAUGUGGAGAAGGCUGAAAUGACAAGUCUAUGGAAGAAUGGUUUCCUAAGAUUGUAUUUUACUGUGCCAUCAUCUAGGGCAUAGAACUGAUAACUAUUAUACCAAUAGUGAUUGAUGCAAAGCCAAAGUUGGUGCUACAAUCCAGCUUUUGUACUGGUUUUCAUAUGCUAAUAGAAGGAAAAAGUAGCAAGAUUUUUUUUUUAAAUCAGUAAAGAAAACAAGUUAAAUGUUGAAUACCCAUGGGAGCACACCUUCUAAAAAGAGAGAGAAAUGUAAUCUAUGUAAAGUCACUUUCUGACUAGAUCAGUACUUUAAAGCAUACAAUGUUAGUAGGUACAAAUCAGAAGGUAAUGAAGCCUUAAGCAUUGUAGAAUUCUGUUCUCCCAGGAAGAAAGUGUCAGGAUAAAUAUAAUAUCUCAUCCUGAUACUGUUACACAUUUUAAUUUAUUUAUAUUGUGUGGAAAACAUACAUUUUAGUAAAAAUUCCAUUUUGUUUGCAGUUUACUCCACUUGUUAACCUUGCUAUCCUAGAGCUGAGUGGUGCAUUUAUAAGGAAAGGGUGGUGAGUGGAUUACUGUGAUAAGAACACUGGCACAAUUGGUUGGAAAUAAGUCUUUAUGUAAGUGUCAUCUUCAGUUAGUUUUUCUGGAUGAUGCAUAAAUAGUUGUUUAUAGAUUUUGAGCCAUAUAUAGUCCUUAAGCCACACACGUUUCCCAGGGUGCCCAUAUAGUUCUGUGUGCUUGCCUGAGAGAGGUAGUUUAGUUACUGCAUAGGAGACAUCAGCCAUUUUAAUUUGCAGUUCCCAGCUGAGGUUAGGACAGCAAGUAUAAACAUUACAAGUAUCUAUUUAGCAUUCUUAGCAUUUGCAGUGCCCAUUUUUUUAAAAACAAAAGAAGGAGAACCUGGGGAAUCAGAGGCUACUCAGCUUGACUUCAAAGCCUACAAAGUCACUAGAGAAAAUUAUAAAAUAUUCCAUGUGUACAUUUUUGUGGAUGAGGGGCUAAUCAUUAGCUGCCAACGUAGAUUUGCUAAAAACAAAUCAUGUCAAGUCAACUGAUUUCUUUUUUUGACAGGAUAACUGGUUUGGUAUCCAAGGGGACUCGAGAACCGAAAAGGGAAUGAAGUAGACAUAAUAUACCUGGAUUUCAGGAAUGUUUUUGACACCGUCCCAUAUACCAUUCUCAUGUAUAAUUAGGAGAAAUGUGGAGGAAUUGCCUCCAUUAGGUGGAUACAUAAUUGGCUGAAUGACGAGAAAACAAUGGUGAUUACUGGAUCAAUGUCAGACUGGCAGGAGGUCUCAAGUAGAAUCCCACUGGGGUCUGCUCUGGUUCCAGUGCUAUUUAGCAUUUUUAUUAGUGAUCUGAAUGUAGGAAUAAUGAUCAGAUCUGCAGACAACACAGAAUUGGGAAAGGCUGCAAACAUUUUGAAAGACAGGAUUCAAAUUCAAAGGCAUCUUGACAAAUGGGGAAGUGGGCUAUAGGCAUAGGCAUGAAAUUCAGAGAUAAAUGUCAGGUUCUGUCUGUGAGGUAAAAAAAACAAACGUACCAAUAUAGCUGUAUUUGGCUUGACAGUAUAACUGUCAUGAAGGAUUUGGGAAUUAUGAUAGACCCCAUCUAAAAAUUAAUCAGGAGUGUGAUUCUGUUGGAAAUCAUGAAAUAUUAGGAAAAAGAUCAUAACUUUAAGAACAGCAAGGCAGUAGAGCAAGGUGCCCAGGGAAGUCGUAGAAUCUCAUUCAUUGGAGGUUUUCAAGGAGAAGCCAGAAUCCUAUGUCUGUGCAAGGGGCUGGAUUAGAUGAUCUUUGAGGUCACUUCCAACCCUAUGAUACUGUGGUCACCUGACCACAGUAAAGUCCUUCUCCUACUAUCUGAUUUAAUCAGGCAGACCAACUGGAGUUCCUUUAAACUGUAAGUCUACUUGCGAGUAUCAAGAGCCUAAAGACCUUGUUCCAUGUUGUAUUUUGAGCUGCUCAAAUGCUGAUUAAUGUUAGUGCCAGCUCCAAUAUGGAGCAGUUACACAUUCAAGCCAGAAAGGUAAGAAUCCUCCCCCCCCACCCCCGACUGGGCUUCCCCUCUGCCCCCUUGCCUCCCCCAGCUCUCCCUGUUCACUCCCCACCAGGGCUCCCCACCCCGUCAAGCUUCCUCAAAACUUGGGGGUGGUAGUGGGGGGGACAAUAGAUCCAAUCUGGGCCAGCCGGGGAGAGGGAAAGUAGGGUGGUCAUAUUAAAUGUGUAGCCUAGUGGUUACACAUUAGUGUAACAUGAACUGGGUAGCACAGUUCAGAGACAUGUAGGCUGGAAGGGCGUAAUUUCUAAGCCUAAAGAGUGCUUAAAAAACUAAUUUCAUGUGUUAAUGUGUGGACAAUCCAGGGGUUAAGAGCUUCAGGAGCCACCCAAAAUGAAUGUGUAACAAGGUCCUAAAAUGCAUGAUAAAAUGUGGUACAACAAACUGAGGUUUUAACCUCAUCAAGCUUAUACAUGUCUAGCAACAGAGCUAACAGGAUUUGGAAAGAAAACCACCUCAGCCAUUUCUGCCAGACACUGGAGGGCACUUUAUAUAGCUGUAUUAGUGGAACACAAAAUAACAAGGUGAACUGCUAAUUAUGAGCAACAUCCAUUCUCCUUCCAAAGCCACUGUGUACCCUGACCCGCAGAGAGCCCUGGGACUCCACUACCCAUGAAAGAUGCUCCUGUACGCAGUGCCAAUUGUCUUACAGACUGCUGUGGCAGUACAGCAUGCAAUGUCAAUAUUGUAAAUAGGACGCACUAGAAUUACACUUCAGUGUGCUGUGAUCAGGCUGACACACUGACAGUAAGUCAGGAGAGAGCUGCAAGAGGCCAGAUAAAAGCACAGAGACAGAGUAGGUACUAUAUGGUACUGCAUAGAAGACAUACCUAAGCUAAAUGAACUAAAGUCUAGAUGAACUACCUUAGGUAUCUCCUCAAUUUUAAAUUGUAGAACUAUCUAGAAACAGAAGUACAGAGCUUUGUGCAGGCUGGAAGCAGUCAGAGGAAAUUCUUGAUAGAUAACAAAUGUUCCUGGUCCCUACCUAGGCUAUUUCAUGCAAGGAAACAAUUUGACUCCGUACUAGAAUUAUACUGACAAUGGCAGUGCCUUAUGGCCAUAAUCACAAUCAAGGUUCCUCUGCCAUAGUUAGGAUGAAAACACGGAGUUUACAGUCUAAAAUACACAAGGUUGAGCUACAGUAAUAGAUGAAAAAACUUACAGGCAACCCCCGCUCAGCACUCUUAAUUGGUUCCUGAAAAACUGAGCAUUAAGCAAAACAAGCGUUAAAUGAAACCAAAAGUAUUUGAUGACCCAAGCUGGUGACUGCAAUUGUUUUUAAUGACCCAAGAUGGUGACCGUGAGUGUUAUAACGAAACUCGCUGAGCGCGAAGUGCCAUCAGGUAUCAAUUUAAAAUAAGCGUUAUAAUGAAAUAGCACUAAGUGAAACAGCGUUAUGCGGGAGUUGCCUGUAUAAUAAGCAAAAUGUCACCAGUACAUAACCUAAUUAUAAGGAAAAUGUCAUCCUUUAUUUGUUGUAUUGUCAAUGCAAAGGGAUAUACUAUGAAAACUUGAUUUUAAAAGUUUUGCCAUUAAUAGCAUACUUUCAUAUAGCUCUUGAUGUUCACAUUGCAAGUGCUUUAAUGUACAUUUGAAAAUCCUUUAUUUCUGUCUCCAAUUUCUCUUCUCUUGACCCUAUUUUAAAGUGCUCAACAGCUCAUGGAAAACAGUUUAAAUAUCCUGGGGAAAAAUAUGUCAAAUAUACCCAGAAAAAUAUUUUCAGAUUGAUUCAGUCCUCUGAGGGCAAGGAGACACCCUCUGAAUAGCUGAAUGCAUGCAUUUCUAGGUCUCGUACUGUAUGCUUGAAUGUACUUUCUCCAAUCAAACACAAGAGUAAAAUACCACUUGGAGGGUCUGCUGAUUUUUCUCUUCACUGAACAGUGUGUCUCUUCAGCAGUUUAUAAAUAACUAAUGAAUAAUAGUGCAAGGGUUCAAAAACUAUUCAUUAUCAUUUUUCAGAACCCAGCACUGUAUUUGUAGCUAGCUCUCUUUCAGAGUGGGAUGUCUGUGGUACAUGAAUACUUAAAAGUGGUUUUACAAAUGCCUCAAGUGUUUUAAGCAGGCAUCAGUUGUUGGCAAAGGUGAUUUGCUGGGGAUUCACUGCUCUGGUAUAAGCCUGUAUUCAUAGUACUAAAAAGUGUGACUUAACAUACUUGUCUGGUUUUCUGCUAUAAAAAUUACAAGCAAACCUGACUAACCUAUUUUUAGCAUCAGACAAGCGUCUUACCUAAAUGACAGGCUGAAAAUAUAUUGUUUGCCAUGACAGUAGCUAUUCAGUAGUCUAAGCAGAAAAUCUAAACUACAAAAUGUUAUUAAUCUAUGGCGAACAUACACUGCCAUCUUCUACAAAGAGACUCUAAAUAAAGGAUCAAAUCUUG